ACGAACGCUGGCGGCGUGCUUAACACAUGCAAGUCGAACGGAAAGGCCCUGCUUUUGUGGGGUGCUCGAGUGGCGAACGGGUGAGUAACACGUGAGUAACCUGCCCUUGACUUUUGGAUAACUUCAGGAAACUGGGGCUAAUACCGGAUAGGAGCUCCUGCUUCAUGGUGGGGGUUGGAAAGUUUCGGCGGUUGGGGAUGGACUCGCGGCUUAUCAGCUUGUUGGUGGGGUAGUGGCUUACCAAGGCUUUGACGGGUAGCCGGCCUGAGAGGGUGACCGGCCACAUUGGGACGGAGAUACGGCCCAGACUCCUACGGGAGGCAGCAGUGGGGAAUAUUGCACAAUGGGCGGAAGCCUGAUGCAGCAACGCCGCGUGCGGGAUGACGGCCUUCGGGUUGUAAACCGCUUUCGCCUGUGACGAAGCGUGAGUGACGGUAAUGGGUAAAGAAGCACCGGCUAACUACGUG
Molecule: ribosomal RNA, 467 nt
Filed under: uncultured bacterium
Lineage: Bacteria
Description: partial 16S ribosomal RNA
Rfam family: Bacterial small subunit ribosomal RNA
Source: RNAcentral